Sphagnurus paluster is the source of this 84-nucleotide non-coding RNA. Lineage: Eukaryota; Fungi; Basidiomycota; Agaricomycetes; Agaricales; Lyophyllaceae. The record is from the annotation of a GenBank genome assembly.
GGCGCUAUAGUGUAGUGGUUAUCACUCGGGAUUUUGAUACACGAUUGAUUUCCCGAAACCCAGGUUCGAACCCUGGUAGAGCCU